This 119-nucleotide ribosomal RNA is filed under the name Pteropus alecto (black flying fox). Lineage: Eukaryota; Metazoa; Chordata; Mammalia; Chiroptera; Pteropodidae. The record is from RNAcentral.
GUCUACGGCCAUGCUACCGUGAACAUGCCGAAUCCUGUCUGAUCGGGGAAGCUAAGCAGGGUCGGGCCUGGUUAGUACUUGGAUGGGAGACCACCUAGGAAGACCAAGUGCUGUAGACG